Molecule: long non-coding RNA, 466 nt
Organism: Boleophthalmus pectinirostris (great blue-spotted mudskipper)
Lineage: Eukaryota; Metazoa; Chordata; Actinopteri; Gobiiformes; Gobiidae
Exons: 3
Source: RefSeq, a predicted model, not a curated record
CGUGGACCCAUGGGACCCUAGUGAAAUAAAAAGAUGAGGAGAGUCAGGACACAAGAUGACAAGCACAACGAGUGGUGUACUUACACUUGAGCCAGGAGGUCCAGGGGGUCCUCGGGGUCCCAUAGGGCCCUAUAUAUAUCAUACAAAAACAGGUGACAAAAGUGAUAGAAGACAUCUCCAAAGGAUGCAAGAUACAAAGGAACAUGUUUGGAUAUGUCACGGGCAGCAAAGAGGCCAUCUUACUGAGAACUUCCUAAAACUCCAAUUGAUACUGCUACGCCAAGUACCUAAGAGACCUGUUCCGUCAGAUUUUCCUAUAUCAUCUGCAGUAUUACUCAAACCUAGGCUUCUCUGGCCUCCUACUAAGGCCCUACACGACGUGCCUUAGUGCUGAGCUCAGAGAGUGCAGUCGGCUUGGCAGCAGGGCCUGGAAACACUCCGCAUGUGUUUGCCAUUAGGAACAGCA